AGCAGCCGCGGUAAUUCCAGCUCCAAUAGCGUAUAUUAAAGUCGUUGCAGUUAAAAAGCUCGUAGUUGAAUUUCGGGGUUAGCAGGUCGGUCGUGCCAUCGGUAUGAACUGGUCUCGCUGAUCCCUCCCUCUUGACGAACUGUGAUGCCAUUAAUUUGGUGUCGCAGGGAAUCAGGACUGUUACUUUGAAAAAAUUAGAGUGUUUAAAGCAGGCUCACGCUUGAAUACAUUAGCAUGGAAUAAUGAAAUAGGACGUUUGAUCCUAUUUUGUUGGCUUCUAGGAUUGACGUAAUGAUUAAUAGGGAUAGUUGGGGGCAUUAGUAUUCAAUUGUCAGAGGUGAAAUUCUUGGAUUUAUUGAAGACUAACUACUGCGAAAGCAUUUGCCAAGGAUGUUUUCAUUAAUCAAGAACGAAAGUUAGGGGAUCGAAGACGAUCAGAUACCGUCGUAGUCUUAACCAUAAACUAUGCCGACUAGGGAUCGGAUGAUGUUAAUUUUUUAAUGACUCAUUCGGCGCCUUA
Molecule: ribosomal RNA, 520 nt
Filed under: uncultured Glomus
Lineage: Eukaryota; Fungi; Glomeromycota; Glomeromycetes; Glomerales; Glomeraceae
Description: SSU rRNA
Rfam family: Eukaryotic small subunit ribosomal RNA
Source: RNAcentral